GAUGAAGAACGUAGCGAAAUGCGAUAACUAGUGUGAAUUGCAGAAUUCCGUGAAUCAUCGAGUCUUUGAACGCACAUUGCGCCCCCUGGUAUUCCGGGGGGCAUGCCUGUCCGAGCGUCAUUGCUGCCCAUCAAGCACGGCUUGUGUGUUGGGUCGUCGUCCCCCCCUCCGGGGGGGGACGGGCCCUAAAGGCAGCGGCGGCACCGCGUCCGAUCCUCGAGCGUAUGGGGCUUUGUCACCCGCUCUGUAGGCCCGGCCGGCGCUUGCCGAACGCAAAACAACCAUUCUUUCCAGGUUGACCUCGGAUCAGGUAGGGAUACCCGCUGAACUUAAGCAUAUCAAUAGCGGAGGA
RNAcentral lists this unclassified non-coding RNA (352 nucleotides) under soil metagenome. RNAcentral's name for it is "partial contains 5.8S ribosomal RNA, internal transcribed spacer 2, and large subunit ribosomal RNA". The stretch from base 1 to 120 matches the Rfam family "5.8S ribosomal RNA", at positions 35 to 154 of the family's 154-position model. The record is from RNAcentral.